UUUUUUUUUUUUUUCUGCAAAAAUAGGAGAGAGGGGAGUCUCCGUCAUGGUGCAGCAGAAACCAAUCUGACAAGGAACCAUGAGGUCGUGGGUUUGAUCCCUGGCCUCGCUCAGUGGAUUAAGGAUCCGGCAUUGCCGUGGCUGUGGUGUAGGCCAGCGGCAACAGCUCCAAUUAGACCCCUAGCUUGGGAGCCUCCAUACGCCUCAGGUGUGGCCCUCAAAAGACAAAAAGACAGAAAAAAUAAAAACAAAAAAAUAGGAGAGAGGUUGAGACGAUAGAUUCUGAUGUCAUACGGCCCCGAGUCUGACAUCAAUGCUAGGUCCUGUGUGACCUUGGGCAAGUUAUUUAACCUCUCUGACCCUCAGGGGGCCUCACCUGGGUAUUAUGAAAAGACCUAGGUGAUAAGGGCAUUGGAGGAUUCAGCGGGAGAAGCCAGUUCUUGGCAAAUGAUGUCAGUGAGUGGACAUCAUGACAAUGCUGCUAACCAAACGCAAACUCCCUUCAGACUUUUCUUUUUUCAUCUCUAGGUCACCUGGUUCCCAGGUAACCGCCAUCUGGAGACGAGAAAAGCAUUCAUGAGAGUUUCCAUCGUGGAGCAGUGAAAAGGAACCCGACUAGAAUCUAUGAGGAUGCGGGUCUGAUCCCUGGCCUUGUGCAGUGGGUCGGGGGUCUGGCAUUGCUGUGAGCUGCGGCAUAGGUCUCAGACGCACCUUGCUGUGGCUGUGGUGUAGGCCAGCAGCUAUAGCUUUGAUUCGACCCUUAGCCAGGCAACUUCCAUAUGCAGCAGGUGUGACCCUGAAAAGAAAGAAAGAAAAAAAAUAAAAAGAAAAGCAUUCACCACUGAAAGCCAGGGAUUCCUCGGCACCCCCCAGGGGCCACCUGCUGAGGGAAAGCUGAUACCACGGAUCUAAACCUCACUAGGCUUCCUCAUUCUAUUAAUCUGGCCAUAAAGCAGAGUCCCGCAGACAAGGACAGAUGCGGAGCUUUGCCGUGCCAAUGGCAGAGGGUGUUAGAAGAAGCCUCAGCAGCCACUCAAGCCACCUCCUCCAACUCAGAACAGCUGCUCGGGGACAGAUUCGCCAAGCAGGAGGUGGGGGCUGAUGCAGUGACUACUAGGGAGACAGGGCAAGCCGGGCUGUUGCCACAUGAAAUCCAGGGGUCAGGCCCACCUGUGCCCCUGUGCUCCAGGUCGGAACAGAGAGUGCCUUUCUCCGGAGCAAAGGGCACUGGAGGGAGGAAGCAGGAACUGACCUCGGGCUCAAGUAUGUCCGCCACCUGCCUCUGCAUGGCUGGCUCUUCCAAGUUCAGCCACAUCUGCCGUCCUGCUCGUGCCAUGUGGGUAAUGUUUGGGGUGCCACGUUCUGCCAGAAAACCUUUCCCUGCUCCUCUCGUCUGACCUCCCUGCAGGCAGCAGCCAAUCCCGUUGUGAGUCCCAGCAGGCUGAGGCCCGGCAUCCAGGCAGAUCUGGCCACGGCCUUGUGCCAACAGUUACAAAAAAACAUUUGCACUUUGGCUGAGUUCCAGUGUCUCUUGAAUGUGGGAAAUCAGAACUCGGAGAAAGACAAUAACUUCCUACAGUUCCCCAAAGACCGAGCACCAGAUGAGACCAAUGGAGUGUUGGCUGGAGACAAAUGGAGCCGCUUCCCUGAUGGCGUGACAUCAACGCAGAAAACCCACCUUGUGCCACGGGUGGCUACGGACCAGGGCUGGGGUCUCUGAGAGGUCAUUGUGGAGGGUUGAGCUGUUACACUCCCAGCAUGCUGGCCGGAACCGAGGGCAUGUGACUGUUCUUUUCCAAGGAGGUUUUGAAGGGCUGGUUGGGCCAUAUCCAUAGUGAAAGAUAGAGCAAGGCCAAGGACGGAACCAUCCAGAACCACCCAGAGCCAUCCAUCCAGGCUACGAGCACUCCACCCCAGUGAGUUUUGGCUUCCAGAAUUCUGGGCACAGACUAUGUGCCCAGGGUUUGAGCCUGUACGUUUUCUUUCUGGGCAGAGACUGACAAAGAAGAGAAAGGCCAGCAUUUUAAGAACGCACCCUAGAAGUUCUCUCCUAAGCGUGGGGAGUCACAUUUCCCAAAGUGGGGCACACCUACCUCUGAGAGUCCUCUGGGAUGGUUUUUGAGGGCACCGAAAGGAGCUUUUCAAUAUUAUGAAUUUAAGAUUUAAUGUUUUGAAAAAAUAUCUAACUGGCAUGUCAAAGGUGUGAUUUCAGCAAUAUGGUUCCUCGAGAUAGCGUUUCUCAACCUCGGCCCUGCUGACAUUUCGGGCUGGAUAAUUCUUCCUGUGGGGACGUCCCGCGUCUUGUAGGAUGUUUAGCAGCCUCUCUGGCCUCUACUCACCAGAGACCAGUAAGUAACCACCCCCGCUCCCUGGCAAGGUGAGGUAAACCCAAAUGCCUCAACAGGGCUAAACGCCCUCUGAGGGCCAAAGACACCCCUGAUGGGGAACCGCUAGCUGAGGCCAAGUCUCCUUCUGAAAGGAAAGUAAGUGAAUUUAGGAGAUCCGGCUGUGGUGUAAGGGGACGGGCGGGUCUCUGGGAGCGCUGGGACCCAGGUUCUAGUCCUGGCCCAGCACAGGUGUGGUGCAGCUGUGGCAUAGGUUUCAACGGUGGCUCAAAUCUGAUCCCUGGCUUAGGAGCUCCAUACGUUGCAGGCGGCCGAAAAAAGGAAGGAAAAAAAAAAAAAAGAAUACAAUAAAUAUGUUCAUUUAAAGGGAAAUGUAUUUUUAGGUGACUUAUUCACACAUGGCAAGCACGGCUGAGGUGAUGAGGGAACGGCAGAAGUUGGGGAAAACCAGAGCAGAGGAGGGUCCAUCAGGGGCUGCGCACUGGGCGUUUGGCCCCUCAAAGUCCCACCCGCUGCCCCUUCCUGCCAGCUCUGCUGUCUGGUCAGCCCUGAAACCGACGCAGGGAAAAGUGGGGGCGGGGGUCAACCAGAGGCCAGCCGAGCACAGAGAGCCCCUGAGAACCUACUCUGCCCACAACAUCAGGCCCUCCUGAUGGAGGAAGGAGGAAGGGGUGGGAUGAGGCUGCUCCUCAUUCCCCUGGGGAAGUCCAGGGCAGAGAUGCCAGGGAGGGGGUCGAAGGGUGGGGGGCCUGUGGUCCUUGGCAACGAGCAAACUGCAAGAGUCACUGAGGAGCCUGGAGAUGCUCAGAGACAUUGGCCCAGCUGACACCCUGAGCUGUGGGGCGCUGGAUGGAAUGAGUCAUCCAAAGAUACGCCCCCUUCACGUCCUAUCAGAAACCCAACAGUUCUAUGGGUUUGAAACACUCGUACUGGAAUUCUCAUUGUGGCUCAGAGGAAACAAACCCGACCAGUAUCCAUGAGGACUCAGAUUCAAUCAGUGGGUUAAGGAUCCGGCAUCCCUGUGAGCUGUGGUAUAGGUCACAGACGUGGCUCAGAUCCUGCGCUGCUGUGGCUCUGGUGCAGACUGGCAGCUCUGUAGCUCAGAAUGGACCCCUAGCCUGGGAACUUGCAUGGGCCGCGGGUGUGGCCCUGAAAAAGUAAAUAAAUAAAUGAAACACUAAUAAUGCUAAGCACUUAGUAUGCACCGAUGACCUUUUUCUGUUUUCAUGUAGAACUUCCUGGGCCAGGGAUCAAACCCACACCAAAGUAGUGACAACACCGGACCCUUAAAUUCUAGGCCACCAGGGAACUCCUGUACCAUCACUUUGUAGAGACCAUUUCCUGUAAGUCUCACCACCGCCCUACAGGGUAGGCACUGUCCCUGUGGCGAUAAUAUUCCAGAGGGAAAGAUGGGGGCUGAGACAUUCUGGGGUUCCACCUGUGGCUGCUGGACCCACAGCUGCGCUCUGUCCCAUCUCCCAGGAAAGCAGAAAGUGCACAGUAAGGGCCAGGCCGUCCUCACAAGGCUCGCUGUCACCUGCCCCACAAGGCCACGCCUCCGUGAUGCAGACCCCUCGGAACAGCCCACUGUGCCAGCAGACCCAAGGAUGCCAGGAAUUGCCAAGGGGAGAAAGUUCUCCAAACUCAAGACAUGAAAGAGCAGCCGGCCCCUCGCUGUGUGCCUCAUCUGUCACCUCCUCGUGAUGGCUGGGCGGAAGAAAAGGGCAGAGGAAAACUCAAAAGGAACGGGUCCGGUUCUUCCCACGCUGCUUUCAGAACCUGGCUGCACACACGCAUGUGCACACUCACUCAUAUGCAAUCAGCUGGGGUGUGAACACACACCUGCAGGCAGGUACACAUCCCUACAGGGCAGGAGGGCGGCAUCAUGUGUCCGUCCAGGCUUUCCGAGUUCUGGAGCCCAGCGGAGGCAGAAACACGCCCCAGAGAACUCUUCCAGAAGCAUCAGGGCAGAAAAAGUGACAGAGACCAUGGGAAGGUACUGACCUGGGUCUCCAGGGUGAUCACAGGGCUUGGCUGUGGGUCCUGCGGGAAGAAAGGAGAAAACGCAUGUGAGUGGCGGGGAAAAUGCAACUGACUGCCCCACCAUCAGUUCUCAAACAAAGCCACUUCUCUUGAGUGACCCCAGCAAGCCCACGGGGAGGGUGGCCCCACACUGUCGCCCCUACCCCAGGAGACAGAAGGACAGCCUGGCCCAAUCUCCCCACACCCACACCCCCUCUCACACCCAGAGGAUGAAGGAGGCUCAAAUCGUUCACUAAGGGGUUAAGGGGACACCUGCACAGAGACCACGCAAAACGAUGAAGCCUAAAGAAGUAAGAAGCAAAGGCCCCUCGCCGAGGGUCUCAGAGUGUGUUCAGAUCAUCGAUGGGGAGGAGAAGAUGGGUCCUUGAGAGGAUUAGAAAUAAACCUGAAAGAAUGUAAAGUCCCCACGAAGAGCAAGGCCACCACUUUGUGUCUGAUCUUGGAAAGAAUGAGGGAAGGAAUGAGACAGAGAAAAAGAAGCGCUUGAUUCCUGGUCUGUGCAGCACAUUCCAUGGGCCCGGGAAGGUUCCUUUCAGGAGGGAGAAGGCAGGCCAGAGAAAGUCCCAUUCAUUCACUGGCUACAAAAGCCAAUUGACUGGAAAUGCUUAGUGGUCAGGUCUCUCGGGUCGUUAAACAUGAACUCUUGGGUGGGGGCAGGGUGGGUACAGCGGAGGAGGGGACGGAUGGGGAGGAGACAGUGGUUACCAGCAAGUGGGUUCCAAAGAAAACAGGAAACUUGGCACAUAAAGGCUAUUUUUGUCUGCACCAUGUCGGCUCUAAACGGAAUCAUCUUAGAUUCAUGAUCCUGGGAAAGUAACCUCACGCUGCCUCUUACAGAGAAUGGGCAUGAUUUUAGGGCCCCGACGUGCAAACUGAGUUGGAAGUUUUACUUUAUCCAAGCAGAACUUCUAACACAGGCUUCAAGGAAGUCACGCCAAUUAGCCCCGGCCCACCGGCCUAUGCUGUGGACAAUAAGGAAAUGUGCAAAUCGUGCCGUAAUUGUCUUUCUGCAACUGGGCUGGUUUUACUCAGCAUGACAUCUGUAAGGUUCAGCCCUGUUGUCACAAAUGACAGGAUUUCUUUCUUGCUCUAAGGCUGAAUAAUAGUCCACUGAGCAUGUACAUAUAACACAGGUUCUUUAUCCAUCCCCCUGUCAAUGCACACAUAGGUUGUUCCCAUUUUGUGGCUGUUACCAAUACGGCUACGAGGGACAUGAGAGCACAGAUUUCAUGAUUCUGAAACCGAACAACGCAGUUGGGACUUGAACCCACGGGCUAGGACUUAAACCACGUCAAAACCCAGAUUGGGACUUGAAUCCACGGUCUCUGAAUUAAAAUACACACCCGGACUCAGAACUUACUGAAAUCUCAGUGCAGGAAUUCAGCGAGAGGCAAAUAGGUAAGAAGGAGAUGUACUGCUAGAGAGACACACGCCAUAGACAGAGUGUGGGCCAUCUCAGCAGGCGAGACAGCAGCCCUGAAAUACGGGGUGCCGAGUUUUAAUGGGCUGGGUAAUCUCACAGGCCAAUGAGUGGGAGGGUUAUUCCAACUAUUUCAGGGAAGGGGCAGGGAUUUCUAGGAAUUGGGCCACCGCCCACUUUUUGCCCUCUUAUGGUCAGCCUUGGAGCUGUCCUGGCACCUGUGGGUGUGUCACUUAACAUAUGUUAAUGUAUUAUAAUGAGUGCAUAAUGAGGUAACAAGGCUUAAGGUCCACUGGAAGUUGAAUCAUCUGCCACUUUGGACCCACCCAGUUAUUGCUGUAACUCCGAUGGCUGUGGCAUUCUUUUAAAGGCUGUGCCCUGCUCCCCUCCCUCCUGUUUCAAUUCCACUUACACCAGGUACCUAAUAGAAACUCUCACAGAAACAGAGUAGAGGGGUGGUUGGCAGAGGCUGAAGGGAGAGGGAAACGGGCAGCGGAUGUUCAAAGGGCACAAAGUUCUGGUCACACGAGAUGAAUAAGUUCCAGAGUUCUGCUGUACAACGGUGCCUGGAGGUAACAAUGUGUAUUGUACACUGAACAUUUUGUUAAGAGGCUAGA
RNAcentral lists this long non-coding RNA (6425 nucleotides) under Sus scrofa (pig). Its description in RNAcentral is "lncRNA (ENSSSCG00055019428.1)". The record is from RNAcentral. Lineage: Eukaryota; Metazoa; Chordata; Mammalia; Artiodactyla; Suidae.